Molecule: non-coding RNA, 929 nt
Organism: Callorhinus ursinus (northern fur seal)
Lineage: Eukaryota; Metazoa; Chordata; Mammalia; Carnivora; Otariidae
Source: RefSeq, a predicted model, not a curated record
CUGUGAGGAAUGGAAUGUUCCGACUCCUUAAAGGGCCGGGCCGCAGGCGCGGCGACCUUUCCGUUAUCGUGAUGAUGAGGGGCCGCCGCUGCCGUCUCCGGAGCCUGAGGUCCCCGAAGGCCGGGCCCCCGCUCCCCGGACCCGGCGUGGGGGCUGCGCCGACCCCGGAGGACUGGGUGAGUUCGGCCCCGGGGGGAGGUUGGGAGUGGGACCGCGAGGAGGCCGUGCCCGACUGUGCUGAUGAUCCUGGGGUUAGGAAGAGCCGUCAGAAGCGAUGCCUGACGACUUCGAUGCGUGUCUGACCGCUGUCGCCGGAGCCUCAACGGUCCGGUUGGACGUCGCUGCCACCACCUGCCCUUAACGCGUGUCACCCUCCGUGUUCCAGGUGGCAGAACCCUCGCAGCGCCUUCAGGCCGGGAGUGGCCUCCCACCCUGAGGGUGCAGAUGGGUGUGGGGUCGGCAGUGUGUGAUCAGAUCAGCAGCAGAGCGUUCGAGGGAUGAGCACUGGCCUGCCUUGAGGUUUUGUGUGCUGAGGUGCUCAAGAAUGGUGGUCUGCGGUGUGGAGUUUGAAAGCUGGAGGCGGCAGCCCUUUAGCUUGAGGAGAGGCUAUUUUCCCAGAGAAAGGUCAGCCAUGCUGCAGCAGGGGAAGAACUUGAAGUUUCGAGGACCAGUGGUCACCAUACCAUCAGUUUGGACUGAAAACCCAGGCUUCGACAGUGGGUGUGGAAACAAUGCUUAACUUGUGUUGAGGUUCCGAGGCCAUUCUCUUACCAGCAGAGCCAACAAACGUGUUUGGCAAACUUGCUAGGAUACUACGCUAGGAUAGGCACUGUUGGUGUCAUUGAAUUCAUGAGCUUUCUAGUAAUGUAUUGUGUUGUAUUUUUAGCUCCCCUGUCCAAAGAGAGCUGCUAUACCUGAGAUCGGAAGAG